GGGGCUGUAGCUCAGUGGCAGAGCGCUUGCCUCACAUGUGUGAGCAACUGGGUUCGAUUCUCAGUACCA
Molecule: transfer RNA, 69 nt
Filed under: Marmota monax (woodchuck)
Lineage: Eukaryota; Metazoa; Chordata; Mammalia; Rodentia; Sciuridae
Description: tRNA.Val
Source: RNAcentral